ACUUGGAUAACUGUGGUAAUUCUAGAGCUAAUACAUGCAAUCAGAACUCUGACCAGUGAUGGGAUGAGUGCUUUUAUUAGAUCAAAACCAAUCGACGGAGGGCCCCGCGUCCGAAGUCGUUAAUUUUGAUGAAUCUGGAUAACUUUUGCCGAUCGCACGGUCAAGCACCGGCGACGCAUCUUUCAAAUGUCUGCCUUAUCAACUUUCGAUGGUAGUUUCUGCGACUACCAUGGUUGUCACGGGUAACGGGGAAUCAGGGUUCGAUUCCGGAGAGGGAGCCUGAGAAACGGCUACCACAUCCAAGGAAGGCAGCAGGCGCGCAAAUUACCCACUCCCGGCACGGGGAGGUAGUGACGAAAAAUAACGAUACGGGACUCUUACGAGGCCUCGUAAUCGGAAUGAGUACACUUUAAAUAUUUUAACGAGGAACAAUUGGAGGGCAAGUCUGGUGCCAGCAGCCGCGGUAACUCCAGCUCCAAUAGCGUAUACUAAAAUUGUUGCGGUUAAAAAGCUCGUAGUUGCAUUUGUGCGCCGCGCUGUCGGUGCACCGCAUCCGCGGUGAUACUGACACGUCUGCGGAGCAUAUCGUCGGUGAGCCGUCGGUAAAACGGCGGUUCAAUAUCAAAAUCCUAUCGCGGUGCUCUUAAAUGAGUGUCGAGAUGGGCCGACAAUUUUACUUUGAACAAAUUAGAGUGCUCAAAGCGGGCUCAAAAUGCCGCUCGAAUAUUUCGUGCAUGGAAUAAUAGAAUAUGAUCUCGGUUCUAUUUUGUUGGUUUUCAGAACUCCGAGGUAAUGAUUAAUAGGGAUAACUGGGGGCAUUCGUAUUGCGACGUUAGAGGUGAAAUUCUUGGAUCGUCGCAAGACGAACAUCAGCGAAAGCAUUUGCCAAAGGUGUUUUCAUCAAUCAAGAACGAAAGUUAGAGGUUCGAAGGCGAUUAGAUACCGCCCUAGUUCUAACCGUAAAUAUGUCAUCUAGCGAUCCGCCGACGUUACUACGAUGGCUCGGCGGGCAGCUUCCGGGAAACCAAAGAUUUUGGACUCCGGGGGGAGUAUGGUUGCAAAGCUGAAACUUAAAGGAAUUGACGGAAGGGCACCACCAGGAGUGGAGCCUGCGGCUUAAUUUGACUCAACACGGGAAAUCUCACCAGGCCCGGACACCGGAAGGAUUGACAGAUUAACAGCUCUUUCUUGAUUCGGUGGGUGGUGGUGCAUGGCCGUUCUUAGUUGGUGGAGCGAUUUGUCUGGUUAAUUCCGGUAACGAACGAGACUCUAGCCUGCUAAAUAGGCGUCGUCAUUUAGGUGUGCGCGGCUCCGGUCGCGCAACUCACUGGCGACGUAUUAAAAUUCUUCUUAGAGGGACCGGCGGCUUCGAGCCGCACGAGAUUGAGCAAUAACAGGUCUGUGAUGCCCUUAGAUGUCCUGGGCCGCACGCGCGCUACACUGAAGGAAUCAGCAUGUUCUCCCUGGCCUAGAGGCCCGGGCAACCCGUUGAAACUCCUUCGUGCUGGGGAUUGGGGUUUGCAAUUAUCCCCCAUAAACGAGGAAUUCCUAGUAAGCGCGAGUCAUAAGCUCGCGUUGAUUACGUCCCUGCCCUUUGUACACACCGCCCGUCGCUACUACCGAUUGAAUGAUUUAGUGAGGUCUUCGGACCGACACGCGGUGGCUUCGCGGCCGUCGGCGUUGCUGGGAAGUUGACCAAAC
RNAcentral lists this ribosomal RNA (1701 nucleotides) under Pachliopta aristolochiae. RNAcentral describes it as "SSU rRNA". It matches the Rfam family "Eukaryotic small subunit ribosomal RNA", at positions 137 to 1764 of the family's 1831-position model. Lineage: Eukaryota; Metazoa; Arthropoda; Insecta; Lepidoptera; Papilionidae. The record is from RNAcentral.